RNAcentral lists this unclassified non-coding RNA (326 nucleotides) under Hevea brasiliensis (rubber tree). The record is from RNAcentral. Lineage: Eukaryota; Viridiplantae; Streptophyta; Magnoliopsida; Malpighiales; Euphorbiaceae.
CAGCUAGUGGGAUUGAACAUCAGCCUGGUCGGGAAGAUCAUAUAACUGGCAACAUGGCUGAUUCUUCAAUGCAAAUAGUGGUGGACCCGGUGGAAUAUUCAAACGAAGUUGUUUCACAUCCUGUAACGCAUCUUGCACAUCAUCUGCCCAGUGAAAUUCCUCUUGGUAGAUCAGGGAUGCAUGCUUCAGACACAAGGACUGUACCAAUUUCUUCAGGAGUUAAUAAUCGUACUGCACAAAUCAUACCCCCUUUCCAAGUGCCCCCUCUGCCUUUGUAUCAUGAUCCUCUUCAAAUUGAACUGGAGAGAUUACGCAAAGAAACAGAC